This 407-nucleotide ribosomal RNA is filed under the name uncultured bacterium. RNAcentral's name for it is "bacterial SSU rRNA". It matches the Rfam family "Bacterial small subunit ribosomal RNA", at positions 958 to 1362 of the family's 1533-position model. The record is from RNAcentral.
AACGCGAAGAACCUUACCUGGGCUUGACAUCCAGCUGCGCGGACUAUGAAAGUGGUCCUCCUUCGAGGGAGCUGGACAAGGUGCUGCAUGGCUGUCGUCAGUUCGUGCCGUGAGGUGUUUGGUUAAGUCCACCAACGAACGCAACCCCUUUGAGCAGUUGCCAGCGGGCGAUGCCGGGAACUCUGCUCAGACUGCCCGUUAUACGCGGGAGGAAGGUGGGGAUGACGUCAAGUCAGUAUGGCCCUUAUGCCCAGGGCUGCACACGUGCUACAAUGGCCGGUACAGAGGGAAGCGAAGCCGCGAGGCGGAGCCAACCCCCCAGAGUCGGCCCCAGUUCGGAUCGGGGUCUGCAACCCGACCCCGUGAAGUCGGAAUUGCUAGUAACGGCGCAUCAGCUACGUCCCCCG